GAUGAACGCUGGCGGCGUGCCUAAUACAUGCAAGUCGAGCGAACAGACGAGGAGCUUGCUCCUCUGACGUUAGCGGCGGACGGGUGAGUAACACGUGGAUAACCUACCUAUAAGACUGGGAUAACUUCGGGAAACCGGAGCUAAUACCGGAUAAUAUAUUGAACCGCAUGAUUCAAUAGUGAAAGACGGUUUUGCUGUCACUUACAGAUGGAUCCGCGCCGCAUUAGCUAGUUGGUAAGGUAACGGCUUACCAAGGCAACGAUGCGUAGCCGACCUGAGAGGGUGAUCGGCCACACUGGAACUGAGACACGGUCCAGACUCCUACGGGAGGCAGCAGUAGGGAAUCUUCCGCAAUGGGCGAAAGCCUGACGGAGCAACGCCGCGUGAGUGAUGAAGGUCUUCGGAUCGUAAAACUCUGUUAUUAUGGAAGAACAAAUGUGUAAGUAACUAUGCACGUCUUGACGGUACCUAAUCAGAAAGCCACGGCUAACUACGUG
Molecule: ribosomal RNA, 497 nt
Filed under: uncultured bacterium
Lineage: Bacteria
Description: partial 16S ribosomal RNA
Rfam family: Bacterial small subunit ribosomal RNA
Source: RNAcentral